RNAcentral lists this ribosomal RNA (474 nucleotides) under Onchocercidae sp. MI2 GLH-2012. RNAcentral describes it as "SSU rRNA". It matches the Rfam family "Eukaryotic small subunit ribosomal RNA", at positions 540 to 1019 of the family's 1831-position model. The record is from RNAcentral. Lineage: Eukaryota; Metazoa; Nematoda; Chromadorea; Rhabditida; Onchocercidae. RNAcentral also lists the same sequence under 1 other name.
AGGAUCUAUGAGAGGGCAAGUCUGGUGCCAGCAGCCGCGGUAAUUCCAGCUCUCAAAGUGUAUAUCGUCAUUGCUGCGGUUAAAAAGCUCGUAGUUGGAUCUGCGUCUCAGGAUCUGGUCCAUCCAUUGGAUGAGAACUAGGCUCCUAGACUAAUAUUGCCAGUUUUCUAUACGUUACCUUGAUUGGUUGCGUAUAGUGGCUAGCAAGUUUACCUUGAAAAAAUUAGAGUGCUCAAUGCGGGCUAAUGCCUGAAUACUCGUGCAUGGAAUAAUGAAAUAGGAUCUCGGUUCUAUUUUGUUGGUUUUCUGAUCUGAGAUAAUGGUUAAGAGGGACGGACGGGGGCAUUCGUAUCGCUGCGUGAGAGGUGAAAUUCUUGGACCGUAGCGAGACGUACGACUGCGAAAGCAUUUGCCAAGAAUGUCUUCAUUAAUCAAGAACGAAAGUCAGAGGUUCGAAGGCGAUCAGAUACCGCC